RNAcentral lists this ribosomal RNA (474 nucleotides) under uncultured Enterobacteriaceae bacterium. Its description in RNAcentral is "bacterial SSU rRNA". It matches the Rfam family "Bacterial small subunit ribosomal RNA", at positions 908 to 1382 of the family's 1533-position model. The record is from RNAcentral. Lineage: Bacteria; Pseudomonadati; Pseudomonadota; Gammaproteobacteria; Enterobacterales; Enterobacteriaceae.
AAAUUGACGGGGACCCGCACAAGCGGUGGAGGAUGUGGUUUAAUUCGAUGCAACGCGAAGAACCUUACCUGGUCUUGACAUCCACGGAAGUUUUCAGAGAUGAGAAUGUGCCUUCGGGAACCGUGAGACAGGUGCUGCAUGGCUGUCGUCAGCUCGUGUUGUGAAAUGUUGGGUUAAGUCCCGCAACGAGCGCAACCCUUAUCCUUUGUUGCCAGCGGUCCGGCCGGGAACUCAAAGGAGACUGCCAGUGAUAAACUGGAGGAAGGUGGGAUGACGUCAAGUCAUCAUGGCCCUUACGACCAGGGCUACACACGUGCUACAAUGGCGCAUACAAAGAGAAGCGACCUCGCGAGAGCAAGCGGACCUCAUAAAGUGCGUCGUAGUCCGGAUUGGAGUCUGCAACUCGACUCCAUGAAGUCGGAAUCGCUAGUAAUCGUGGAUCAGAAUGCCACGGUGAAUACGUUCCCGGGCCUU